CUUAAAGCACAGUUUAUUUCACAGUUUAUUUCAAAAUCCCAAACCAACACUGACAGAAAAACAAAGUAUUAAUUCUGUACAAAGUCCUGCACCACGAGGACUGCACUCGGAUCCUGUUUUUGAUACUAUGGACGGGCUUCAAACUGGGACAAAAAGCUGCUCAACCUUUGACUUGAGGUUAGAGAGAACUGCCCCAGCAACACUUUCUAAAAAAGCACAGUAAGUGCAAUAACUUAUUGCAUAAUGGAGACCAUCAAAAGUAAAAAUAUAUGAUUAAUAUACAAAAAAAGCUGCUUAAAACCACAGAAAACAACGCAUUUUUCAGAAUAACAAAAACAAAGUGGCACAUUUAGCAUUAUUCCUGUUAUACUUCAUUGGUUUAGAACUGGAUGUCCAAUAAUCGAAAGAGAAGCAAAAACACAUGAACAAAUAAACGAACAAUAUUAUUUGUACUGUUCACAUUCAAACAAUAUGGCGUCAUUAACUUGAAUUUAAUUGCAUUAAUUCAGUAGUAUCAACAUAGAUGGAGCGGCAGUGGAGAGGAGCACUGAGGAAAAACGUCAAAAUGACAAAAAAUGAAUUGGUGCCAUGGAUUCAUUUUGGCUGCAUGUCAAACACUAGAAACAUAUGGGAGACAAAAGAUGACUAAUUUGAACUGAAGCUGGUUUUGCAGACGGCAUGAUAUACUUUUUUUUUUUUUUUUGCAAUAUUUUCCUUCAUACACGCACAAUUUUGUGUUGGUUGAUUAGAUGAAAUCCUCAUAAAA
Molecule: non-coding RNA, 766 nt
Organism: Poecilia reticulata (guppy)
Lineage: Eukaryota; Metazoa; Chordata; Actinopteri; Cyprinodontiformes; Poeciliidae
Source: RefSeq, a predicted model, not a curated record